CGAACGCUGGCGGCGUGCUUACCACAUGCAAGUCGAACGGAAAGGCCCUGCUUUUGUGGGGUGCUCGAGUGGCGAACGGGUGAGUAACACGUGAGUAGCCUGCCCUUGACUUUGGGAUAACUUCAGGAAACUGGGGCUAAUACCGGAUAGGAGCUCCUGCUGCAUGGUGGGGGUUGGAAAGUUUCGGCGGUUGGGGAUGGACUCGCGGCUUAUCAGCUUGUUGGUGGGGUAGUGGCUUACCAAGGCUUUGACGGGUAGCCGGCCUGAGAGGGUGACCGGCCACAUUGGGACUGAGAUACGGCCCAGACUCCUACGGGAGGCAGCAGUGGGGAAUAUUGCACAAUGGGCGGAAGCCUGAUGCAGCAACGCCGCGUGCGGGAUGACGGCCUUCGGGUUGUAAACCGCUUUCGCCUGUGACGAAGCGUGAGUGACGGUAAUGGGUAAAGAAGCACCGGCUAACUACGUG
This 466-nucleotide ribosomal RNA is filed under the name uncultured bacterium. RNAcentral describes it as "partial 16S ribosomal RNA". It matches the Rfam family "Bacterial small subunit ribosomal RNA", at positions 30 to 507 of the family's 1533-position model. The record is from RNAcentral.